UACAGAGGGUGCAAGCGUUAAUCGGAAUUACUGGGCGUAAAGCGCGCGUAGGUGGUUUGUUAAGUUGGAUGUGAAAUCCCCGGGCUCAACCUGGGAACUGCAUUCAAAACUGACAAGCUAGAGUAUGGUAGAGGGUGGUGGAAUUUCCUGUGUAGCGGUGAAAUGCGUAGAUAUAGGAAGGAACACCAGUGGCGAAGGCGACCACCUGGACUGAUACUGACGCUGAGGUGCGAAAGCGUGGGGAGCAAACAGG
Molecule: ribosomal RNA, 253 nt
Filed under: uncultured bacterium
Lineage: Bacteria
Description: partial 16S ribosomal RNA
Rfam family: Bacterial small subunit ribosomal RNA
Source: RNAcentral